CAAACCUCUUUCUAACUUUUAGGCUACAGUUUAAAAUAAAAAUUUUCUCCAAAACUCACCAAGACGCAGCUGGCCGUGCUCUCUCUCCAAUGCAACUCAUCUAUUCAGCUUGCAGCCAAUACCUUAAAUGCUUUACUGCAUUAAAAGUUCUCCUGCACUUCAACCAACAUCAUUAAUGCAUCAACCUUUUUUUCAAUGAUUUCCAAAUUCCCCUUUAGUUUUUUACCCAUAUUUUUACCCAUCACUUUUUACUUAACAAAAUUAAAUCUGCUCUCCAGUCACUGCUCUUAUCUUGAGGCCCACGCACAUGGAGAAAUUCACACCAUCCUGGAGACACGCACACACCCCAGCAGAAAUACACACGCAGACACCCAUACUAUGCAGAGCCGCAGGCCCCACCAGUUUCUCUUGUAGCACACUCACACAGCAUAUAUCCCGACCAAGGUACUUUUUAUCAGUUGGAUUAAACGGUAUAAUUCAACAUAGAAAAAACAGAAAACGGCCGAAUCCGUGUAUCAUUCGUUCUUUCUAUUUUCAAUUGCAGAUCAAAAAACAAAAAAUAAAAAAUGGACUGAAUCCGUGUAUCAUUCGUUCUUUCUAUUUUCAAUUGCAAAUAAAAAAAUAAAAAAUGGACUGGUUAGUUUGUUUCCUAUGGUUAAACCAAAAAUGAAAAAAGGAUUGUUUUUUAAUCCGUGUAUCUUUCGUUCUUUCUAUUUUCAAUUGCAAAUCAAAAAACAAAAAAUGGACUGGUUAUUUUGUUUUUUAUGGUUAAACGAAAAACAAAUUGGUUUUUCAUAUUUCAAUGCUAAGCUCAGAUCGAAAAUACGAAAUCAAAAAACGGACACCAAGGCAGAAUUUGAUUUUAAUAUUUAAUAGGUAGGGUUUACGUGACCCGGAAAUAGCUCUUUGCGCGGCAGUUAGGGUAAUGAAGUGGCUACCAUGGCGGCGCUAGAGCCACACACUAGGUUGAUUGAGGAGUUGUUUAACAGCGGUUUGACACACACUGAAAUUUCCAACACAUUGCAGCAGAUGGGCAUCGGGAAAUGCUCUAAGAUGAGCGUCAGAAGAGUCUGUGCUAUGCAUGGUCUGAGGAGAAACGGAUCUGUUUCAGAUUGUUAGCUAGAUAGCGCUUUGAUUCAAUCUGUAAAUGAGGUAAGCUGCCUUUCAGAUUUCAUUAUCAUAAUCAUCCAGAUCUCCACUGUAUAUUUUAAAUAAUAUAUUUAUAUCACACACCGACAGUAAAUGUGUUAUUCUGUGACAGACUGGACCAUCAUAUGGCAGGAAGUUCAUGACCGGCUAUCUGUCUUCACUGGGGCUGCAUGCGGGAGAGGGUCGGGUUGGAAAACGCCUAAGAGAGCUCCAUCAGCCAUACCAUGAAUUCUGACGUCAGGGUGCUCGUAAUUUAAAUCCUACUCCGUACCAUGCUGAAUAUAUGGGCCAUAAACUUCAUUUAAACCAAAAUGAAAAGCUUGGGAUGUUUGGAGUUACACAUGUGUUGGCUGUUGAUGGCUACAGCAGCAAAAUUGUUGCACAUUCAACCAUGCCCAUCAAAAACAACCUUGUGAUUUACAAGGAUGUAUAUAGAUCUGCAGUCGUGAACCAUGGCAUGUGGGACCAAGUUCGGGUUGAUCACGGCAGGGAGUUCAACCUGUGUCUUUACAUGCAGGAGAGACUGUCAAGAUACAGACACAAUCUCAGCUGGCCACCAUACCUCCAAACCAGAUCAACAAGGAACCUUCGGGUGGAGAGGUUAUGGCCAGAGGUGAACAAUCACGUGAACUACCCACUUAAACGGGCUCUGGUGCACCUGCUGGACCAAGAGGUUGUGAACAUGGAGGAUAACCUCACUAGAUUCUGCAUCUCAAAUCUGACAUGUCAAGUAAGCCAAAUUGGACUUGACAGAGUUGUGCAUUCAUGGAAUGCACACAAGAUACCAGGUCGUGGAAUACCCAAUGAACUAGCAGCAGAUGGCUGCCUGGCUAGAGUGUCCGAGGAGCUGCUGCCAUGUGCUUCUGUUGUGGGAAACCUGUAUGAGCAAGACUUGGGAUCCUCACUAACUUGGGAGUCUGUAUUUGGAGCUGAUCCAUUUUCAUCUGAAGAAGACAGAUGCCAUGCAGAGCAGAUCUUUGCAGAGAACUACCCUGACAUCUCUCUCAUUUUUAAUCAUGUGGCAAACAAUGAUGAUACUCCUUUCCAAGAUGCUUUAAUCUUUUUAAUGAAUGUGACAGCAAGAUAUGUCUGAAAAAAUAAAAUGAUUUAGUUGUGUUCUCAAAAGUACUUUGAGUGCAUCAAUAAACGUUCCAAAAGAUGAAAACAGAUGAAGAACAGCAUGAACAAAACUAAAUACUGUACAGUUUUACUGGUACAGUAUGUUGUCCAGUGCAGCCAGUGCAUCAGACAAUCCAGUAAAAUUUUGUACAUUUUCACCAAAAUCAUCUGCUCGGCAUUUUGGGCAAAAUGCAGAAUUCUUCUGCCAUUGUUCAAUGCGGCUCCUGCAGCCCACAAUGCUAUGGCAACACAAAGACACCAUGGGCUCGACCAUUGGACCUGCAAAUUUGAUUCGGAAAUAUAUAUAUUUUAAAUUCAGUAACUGCAUGUGGUUACAUUAUUUUUUGCAUUGAAGUCUAUUCUCUUCAUGAACCUGGGUACGAGUUAUACUGACUCCUGCCUGCAGAAGACAAAACGUUUUAUUUACCAUUGCAGACAACACAGAAAAAGGCAUCUUUGACAGUAGCUGCUUCAGCCUCAGUCAAGGACACUGUUGUUCUUCGGUUGGAACUUGCCAGAUGUGUCAGCUCCUUAAAUGCAGCUUAAGCGAAAAUUCAAACUGAAGAAACUCUAUUGCCUACCUCCAUCAAUCAG
Fundulus heteroclitus (mummichog) is the source of this 2862-nucleotide long non-coding RNA. RefSeq lists it as uncharacterized. NCBI's taxonomy places the organism in Eukaryota, Metazoa, Chordata, Actinopteri, Cyprinodontiformes, Fundulidae. The record is from RefSeq and is a predicted model, not a curated record. The transcript is spliced from 5 exons.